AUGCCUUUGUGAUAUUUUGAUAUUGUAAAGUAGGUUGUGAUCGUUGUUGAAGUUUGGUUGUGGACCCUUGAUGACCGUUGGACAUUCUUAGCGUGAUGUUAACUUGUUGUAGCCGCUUAAGGUGACAGGUUAGCUCAAAGAUGUAUUGGAUGAUUGAUUGCCUGGUUUUGCUAGAAUUGGAUUUGGACUUGGACUUCUUGGAUCCGUGAUUCAUUAUUCCCGAUUAGGGUUUAUGCUUAGAUGUGAUCCGGUUGCUUGCACUACUAAAUGGUUCGUAUGGAUUUACUUGAUCCUUUUAUGCAUUUAGUUUACUCUA
Molecule: long non-coding RNA, 316 nt
Organism: Erigeron canadensis
Lineage: Eukaryota; Viridiplantae; Streptophyta; Magnoliopsida; Asterales; Asteraceae
Exons: 2
Source: RefSeq, a predicted model, not a curated record